RNAcentral lists this long non-coding RNA (208 nucleotides) under Mytilus galloprovincialis (Mediterranean mussel). Lineage: Eukaryota; Metazoa; Mollusca; Bivalvia; Mytilida; Mytilidae. The record is from RNAcentral.
GAUACAUUUAAGGAUGUAAUAUCACAGACUAGACCAACAAAUUCAUUGGACGGAUACUGAAAUAUUUAACAAAUUAAACAGGAAAUGAACUAGAUGUAAUAAUCUAGUUAAACUGAAUUGCUAUGCUUCAAUUCCUUAACCAAUAAAAGUCAAUAUCCUUAAAGUAAAAGAAGUAUCCACUUAAAACAGAUAUUAUAACAGAUCUACA